CGGUGGCUAAUACCGCAUAACGUCGCAAGACCAAAGAGGGGGACCUUCGGGCCUCUUGCCAUCAGAUGUGCCCAGAUGGGAUUAGCUUGUUGGUGAGGUAACGGCUCACCAAGGCGACGAUCCCUAGCUGGUCUGAGAGGAUGACCAGCCACACUGGAACUGAGACACGGUCCAGACUCCUACGGGAGGCAGCAGUGGGGAAUAUUGCACAAUGGGCGCAAGCCUGAUGCAGCCAUGCCGCGUGUAUGAAGAAGGCCUUCGGGUUGUAAAGUACUUUCAGCGGGGAGGAAGGUGUUGUGGUUAAUAACCACAGCAAUUGACGUUACCCGCAGAAGAAGCACCGGCUAACUCCGUGCCAGCAGCCGCGGUAAUACGGAGGGUGCAAGCGUUAAUCGGAAUUACUGGGCGUAAAGCGCACGCAGGCGGUCUGUCAAGUCGGAUGUGAAAUCCCCGGGCUCAACCUGGGAACUGCAUUCGAAACUGGCAGGCUUGAGUCUUGUAGAGGGGGGUAGAAUUCCAGGUGUAGCGGUGAAAUGCGUAGAGAUCUGGAGGAAUACCGGUGGCGAAGGCGGCCCCCUGGACAAAGACUGACGCUCAGGUGCGAAAGCGUGGGGAGCAAACAGGAUUAGAUACCCUGGUAGUCCACGCCGUAAACGAUGUCUACUUGGAGGUUGUGCCCUUGAGGCGUGGCUUCCGGAGCUAACGCGUUAAGUAGACCGCCUGGGGAGUACGGCCGCAAGGUUAAAACUCAAAUGAAUUGACGGGGGCCCGCACAAGCGGUGGAGCAUGUGGUUUAAUUCGAUGCAACGCGAAGAACCUUACCUGGUCUUGACAUCCACAGAACUUUCCAGAGAUGGACUGGUGCCUUCGGGAACUGUGAGACAGGUGCUGCAUGGCUGUCGUCAGCUCGUGUUGUGAAAUGUUGGGUUAAGUCCCGCAACGAGCGCAACCCUUAUCCUUUGUUGCCAGCGGUUAGGCCGGGAACUCAAAGGAGACUGCCAGUGAUAAACUGGAGGAAGGUGGGGAUGACGUCAAGUCAUCAUGGCCCUUACGACCAGGGCUACACACGUGCUACAAUGGCGCAUACAAAGAGAAGCGACCUCGCGAGAGCAAGCGGACCUCAUAAAGUGCGUCGUAGUCCGGAUUGGAGUCUGCAACUCGACUCCAUGAAGUCGGAAUCGCUAGUAAUCGUGGAUCAGAAUGCCACGGUGAAUACGUUCCCGGGCCUUGUACACACCGCCCGUCACACCAUGGGAGUGGGUUGCAAAAGAAGUAGGUAGCUUAACCUUCGGGAGGGCGCUUACCACUUUGUGAUUCAUGACUGGGGUGAAGUCGUAACAAGGUAACCGUAGGGGAACCUGCGGUUGGAUCACCUCCUUA
This 1380-nucleotide ribosomal RNA is filed under the name Salmonella enterica. Its description in RNAcentral is "bacterial SSU rRNA". It matches the Rfam family "Bacterial small subunit ribosomal RNA", at positions 157 to 1533 of the family's 1533-position model. Lineage: Bacteria; Pseudomonadati; Pseudomonadota; Gammaproteobacteria; Enterobacterales; Enterobacteriaceae. The record is from RNAcentral.